GACGAACGCUGGCGGCGUGCUUAACACAUGCAAGUCGAACGGAAAGGCCCUUCGGGGUCCUCGAGUGGCGAACGGGUGAGUAACACGUGGGUGAUCUGCCCUGCACUUUGGGAUAAGCCUGGGAAACUGGGUCUAAUACCGAAUAUGAUCAUCGGCUUCAUGGUCGGUGGUGGAAAGCUUUUGCGGUGUGGGAUGGGCCCGCGGCCUAUCAGCUUGUUGGUGGGGUAAUGGCCUACCAAGGCGACGACGGGUAGCCGGCCUGAGAGGGUGACCGGCCACAAUGGGACUGAGAUACGGCCCAGACUCCUACGGGAGGCAGCAGUGGGGAAUAUUGCACAAUGGGCGCAAGCCUGAUGCAGCGACGCCGCGUGAGGGAUGACGGCCUUCGGGUUGUAAACCUCUUUCAGCACAGACGAAGCGCAAGUGACGGUAUGUGCAGAAGAAGGACCGGCCAACUACGUG
RNAcentral lists this ribosomal RNA (462 nucleotides) under uncultured bacterium. RNAcentral's name for it is "partial 16S ribosomal RNA". It matches the Rfam family "Bacterial small subunit ribosomal RNA", at positions 28 to 507 of the family's 1533-position model. The record is from RNAcentral.